RNAcentral lists this ribosomal RNA (468 nucleotides) under uncultured bacterium. Its description in RNAcentral is "partial 16S ribosomal RNA". It matches the Rfam family "Bacterial small subunit ribosomal RNA", at positions 28 to 507 of the family's 1533-position model. The record is from RNAcentral.
GACGAACGCUGGCGGCGUGCUUAACACAUGCAAGUCGAACGGAAAGGCCCUGCUUUUGUGGGGUGCUCGAGUGGCGAACGGGUGAGUAACACGUGAGUAACCUGCCCUUGACUUUGGGAUAACUUCAGGAAACUGGGGCUAAUACCGGAUAGGAGCUCCUGCUGCAUGGUGGGGGUUGGAAAGUUUCGGCGGUUGGGGAUGGACUCGCGGCUUAUCAGCUUGUUGGUGGGGUAGUGGCUUACCAAGGCUUUGACGGGUAGCCGCCCUGAGAGGGUGACCGGCCACAUUGGGACUGAGAUACGGCCCAGACUCCUACGGGAGGCAGCAGUGGGGAAUAUUGCACAAUGGGCGGAAGCCUGAUGCAGCAACGCCGCGUGCGGGAUGACGGCCUUCGGGUUGUAAACCGCUUUCGCCUGUGACGAAGCGUGAGUGACGGUAAUGGGUAAAGAAGCACCGGCUAACUACGUG